AUGUGUGGUAAAAUAAGCUAUACGGCUGGCCAUGCAGGCACCGCAACUUCAGAUUUUGCAAAUAAUGACGGGCAUAUGUACAUGUACUGCACAAAGUCAAAUAAUAUAGUUCGAUCACAUAUUCCACAAUUGUUUCUGUUUACAAAAUUUGUGAGGCCUUGGAUCUUCACCAAUGGUGAUCUUUUAACCAUGCCCAAACAGCUUCUGUUGAUCAUGCAGCCUGCGCCCUACGAGCAAACAAUGGCAUUGUUUCUUUUUGGAAUAUGUAAUGCAUAUUGUUCUCCGCCCACUAAAAAGAAACAAUUGAUCUUCCGCCAUUUCUAG
This 324-nucleotide ribosomal RNA is filed under the name Triticum aestivum (bread wheat). RNAcentral describes it as "partial small subunit ribosomal RNA". Lineage: Eukaryota; Viridiplantae; Streptophyta; Magnoliopsida; Poales; Poaceae. The record is from RNAcentral.